UUUUUUAACAAGGAUGCGCUCAUACUUCACUUAGGUGGGACUUCUGUUUGCAAGUGAUAGAAACUCUACCUCGACCAUUUGGGGCAAAAAGAGGAACUCACUGGCAGAAGAAUUUAAACCACAGGACUCAGUCUCUUGGCCUUUUGUCUCUGCUUCUCUCAGACCAGCAUUCUCCACAAGCUGGAACUCUGGUCACGAGAAGCUGCCUGGCUCCCCACUCCAGGCUUCCCGUGCAGAGGGCUUAUCCCUCGCCUUCAGCUAAAUAAAGCAUUCCCAAGAAGGAUGUUGAUCGGUCAUGAGUAUCAUUUAAGGUGUUUUUGGGGGGAACCUGUGUGGCUCAGUCGGUUAAGCAUCUGACUUUGGCUCAGGUCAUGAUCUCUCAGUUUGUGAGUUCGAGCCCAGCGUCGGGCUCUGUGCUGACAGCUCAGAACCUGGAGCCUGCUUCGGAUUCUGUGUCUCCCCCCUUUCUCUGCCCCUCCCAUGCUCAUGCUCUGUCUCUGUCUCUCAAUAAUAAAUAAAUGUUAAAAAAAAACAUUAAAGUACUUUUGGCUGCAAAUAACAGAAACCCCAAGAGCGAGUGACUUAAUAGGGGUUUAUUCUUUUCAUGGAACAAGAUGUCUAGAGGUACACGGUUGUUCUUGUAGCCCAGUGAUGCCAUAGAUCUGGGUCAGUGUCUUGGCAAUUCUCUUUGUCUUCCCCUCGGGGUUGCAAGGUGGGUACAGCAGCUGUAAACAUCAUGUUCUCAUUUGACAGUGUCUUUUUUUUUUUUUUAAAGUUUAUUUAUUUGGAGAGAGACUGAGACAGUGUGAGUCAGAGAGGGGCAGAGAGAGAGAGACAGCGAAUCCCAAGUGGGCUCCGCGCUGUUAGCACGGAGCCUGAUGUGGGGCUCGAACUCAUGAAACCGAGAGAUCAUGAGCUGAGCCAAAACCAAGAGUCGAACUUAACUGAACUUAACUGACUGAGCCACCCAGGCAGCCCAGCUUCUCUCAAAAGCAAAACCUGAGACAAAGGCUUUUGUGAUGGCAGGGAGAUGAUGGCAGGGAGCAGGGGUAAGGACUGAGGGAGUGAAUCGGGGAAAGAGGGACAGCCAACAGAAGGAUGCAUUACUGACCUGCUGGCACCUCCCGAGGGGCUUAUGAACUACAUCUCAGGACUGUCUGCUGGGGGACAAAGAGGGAAACAUUUUUCUAUCCACAAGCUCCCUCCUCCCCUAACAAAACAAUAUGACAAUAAAUAUAUUUUCCAGUCAGCAUAUGUGUAUGUGGUAUACACAGUCCAUAGCCACAUCAUCAUACAGAUGAACCACACUUACGUAUUCUGUUAAUGGAUAUUUACACUGGUUUUAUAUCAAGUUGUCAUAAACAUUAAAAGGGGCUUCCCCUCCCCCCCCCGCCCCCCGCCCUGCUCUGGUCCCAGAACCAAGGAACUUUUAUAGCAAUAUUUCAUCUUGCCAAAACAUAACUAAUUCACACUAACCUAUUCAGGGCAAAAAUGGAAAAGAGUUAAAAAUAGCUUCUAAGUAGCCAAAUAGGUGUCAAAGAGUCACAAAUUCCAGCUGGAAUGGGCAGUCAUGUGUGCGAUGUCACUCCGGCUUGGGCUGAAAUCUCACCUACUUGUAAGAGACAGCUUUGUUAGCCUGUCCAAUCUCACUUUGCUUACAGUUCUAACUAGCUUGGUAUCCUAGUCACUAUUUCCACAAAUGACAAGGGGAAGGAAGCCACUCAAGGAAGCCACACUGCCAGCUCAAACCAGAAGGGGGACCACAGACGGCAGCAAAAACAACACAGCAGAAACAACAACCCAAAACUUUUUUUAAAAAUGUCCCAAACAUGCAAAAGAAUACUGGUAUUUUACCGACUCUGUGGAACAGGAGAAGAACGGAGGUUCACAGCCAGAAAGAAUUGUCGCAAUCACGUUCGGAGUGCUCUUUCCAAGGCGUGGAGAUGAAGGAUUUGUUUUUUGCUGUUGUAUCUUUUCACGCAGUAUUGAUUCAGUACCAUUGUUCUUGUUGCGCAAUAUUUUGGAGAGAUUUCCCAAUAUGUAGGUUUCAAAUGAUGAAGACGUUGAUUCUAAAAUCUCUGGGGAACAUCACUGUCCAAACAACUGGUUUCCAUGGAGUUUUAGCCGAGAAGUUUCAUCCAGCAAAUUGGUUGGGUAACCACAGAGAAUGAUUUCUCUGCCUCUCUGCACGAGGGGGUGAUGCUGACCAGACUUCGCCUGUAAACCAGGGCGGUGGUGCUCCAUUUCGUGAGUACGCGGGGACAGUCACCGGCCAUCCUUUCACAGUGAUGGGUUAAGGCAGAAACUGCCACCUGGAUCAAGAUCUAGAACGUUUCCAGCGCCCCAUGCUCCUUCUCAGUCUAUUAUCAUCCACCCGCCAGUAAGAGAGCUUGGCAGGAAAGCCACCGAGGUCAUUCUGCUGAAGGGGGGAGGCUAAGAUGUGCUGAGGUGAAGUCUCCGACCCCGAGUCCUGGCGGACCUUAGUGGCAAAACUGAAGGGUGAUUUAACAAGAAGCUUUAAGAACUACAAUAUAUAUUAAUGGCAAAUGGGCUCCCAGUAUUGAGAUCUGUUUAAGUUGUUUUUGAUUCUUUAAGCUCACAUAAUGAAGGUACUGACCUAACAAAUAAAUAACUGUUCUUGGAAGAAAACCCCACAUCAGAGUAAAUAUUAACAAAGGAUCUGGUUAUGGCACACAUUGAACUUCAGGAGUUCCUUCAUGAUAUCUAGUUACCUGGGAGGUUGAAUUUUAUUCGGAAUGCUGAUUGGUGAGCACAGAGUAAAAUUUGCCUUGGGAAGAUAUUUUACGUAAACUCUGAAAAGCCAGAUGAAAUAUCUCUACUUCAAACUGAAUACAUCGCUGUGACACCACAGAAUGGAAUCCCCAAAUUCAGUACCUUUUCCAUCAAAAGUAUGAGUUCCUUUGGAGUAGAGAAAGUGAUGAGGAACGAAUCUGAUGAGCUAUAUGUGAUGGGCGGAAUGGCCUCCAAAGGUGUCCAAGCCCUGCUCCCUGGAAUGUGUUUCCUUGCAUGAUAAAAGGGGCUUUGCAUCUGCAAUUAUGGUUAUGGAUGUGGAUAAUCCAGGUGGGCCCUUCGAAGCAGAGAACGGUCUCUGGUUGGAGUCAAAGAUAUACAGUGAAAUAGGAGGCAGGAGAGGGAAUCCAAGAGAGAGGCUCCAAGUGUGAGAAGGGCAUCAAAGUGCUGUUACCCGCCCUGAGCAUAGGGAGACACCUGCUGGGGCGAAGAGAGGUCUCUAGGAGUUGACGGCAGCUCCUGGCUGACAGCAGGCGAGCAAACAGGGACUUCAAUCCUACAACCGCAAGGAAUGAAAUUCUGACAACUGAAAAAGCUUGGAAGUAGAUUCUUCCCCAGAGCCUCCAGAAAAGAAGGCAGCUCUUGAUUCUGCCUUGUGAGACCUGGAGCAGAGAAAACCCUUGAGCCCUGCUGUGCCCACACUUCUGACCCACGAGAAGUUACAAAAUAAUAAAUGAAUGUUAUUUUAAGCCUGGAGAUGUGUGGCAAUUUGUUACUGUAGCAAGAGAAAACCAAAACACUGUGUUAGUAUGUUCAAGUUCAGUCUAAGAAAAUAAUCUGAGAAAAACAACACAGUUGUGUGU
Acinonyx jubatus (cheetah) is the source of this 3614-nucleotide long non-coding RNA. RefSeq lists it as uncharacterized. The transcript has 5 exons. The record is from RefSeq and is a predicted model, not a curated record. NCBI's taxonomy places the organism in Eukaryota, Metazoa, Chordata, Mammalia, Carnivora, Felidae.